Salarias fasciatus (jewelled blenny) is the source of this 456-nucleotide long non-coding RNA. RefSeq lists it as uncharacterized. Lineage: Eukaryota; Metazoa; Chordata; Actinopteri; Blenniiformes; Blenniidae. The record is from RefSeq and is a predicted model, not a curated record. The transcript has 3 exons.
GAAGAGAUGAAUGACGAACUCACGGAGAUGAAGACGAGGUCGGCGUCCCUGAUGGCCGAGUCGAUGUCCGUGGAGAAGAACAGAUUCCUGCCUCGGCAUGAUUCAACAACUUCCUUCAGUCCUGGCUGAAAACGGGAGGAAGUAGGAGAAUGUGUCAGUGGCUCGUGAGCGACAACUUCAGGAAUGCGUUGGGUGAAUUCAGCUCCUCGGAUGAACGGCUCCCGUCGAGAGGUCCGCUUCAGAGUGCGGAGAGUCGCGCUGUUGAGGACCAGAAGCGUCCUGGAGCAGACCGUGAGUCAGCGUCUCCGAACCCCACACCGCAGCGGGACUCCUCAGAUGAAAUGACGAUAACAAAAGCCAAACUGAGGAGUUGGUGGCCUGCAGUGAAACGAAAAUAAAGGAAGAGCAAAAAAAGUUUCUCCCGUCAGUGAUAGUCCAACGCUGGGGUCAACAGAC